Molecule: long non-coding RNA, 378 nt
Organism: Quercus lobata
Lineage: Eukaryota; Viridiplantae; Streptophyta; Magnoliopsida; Fagales; Fagaceae
Exons: 4
Source: RefSeq, a predicted model, not a curated record
GGCGAAAGUGGCCUCCACAAUCGCCUCCUAGCCCGUCCAUUAGUCCGACCCAGCCGACUGAGCCGUCCUUCAGAAAACCCAAUCGUUGCUUUGUGUUUCAGGUAAUGAUGAUGAUGCCAAUUACUCAGUCCCAAUGCCAACUGAAUCCUAGCAGAGGUGUGGUUGCCUUUUCGGUUGUCACCGUUGGCAUCACCAGAUGGAUACAAGAAGAGAGAAGUUUUGAUGCUAAGGUUGACAGUCAUAAGUGGAGAGAUUCCUAAUCCAAUUAAGUUUCCAAUAUAUAUUCUCUUUGGAUCUGCUGAUUUUUCAUACUUUACAUUGUUUUUGGGCAGUACUGGUAACUGGCUUACAUCAGUGGUAUUUCAAAUGAAUGUGACA